This 331-nucleotide ribosomal RNA is filed under the name uncultured bacterium. RNAcentral's name for it is "bacterial SSU rRNA". It matches the Rfam family "Bacterial small subunit ribosomal RNA", at positions 568 to 898 of the family's 1533-position model. The record is from RNAcentral.
UCCGUAGGCGGUGUGGCAAGUCGGUAGUGAAAUCUCUCGGCUUAACUGAGAGGCUGCUGCCGAAACUGCCAUGCUCGAGUGCGAGAGAGGCGAGUGGAAUUGCGGGUGUAGCGGUGAAAUGCGUAGAUAUCCGCAGGAACAUCCGAGGCGAAAGCGGCUCGCUGGAUCGCAACUGACGCUGAGGGACGAAAGCUAGGGGAGCAAACAGGAUUAGAUACCCCUGGUAGUCCUAGCCCUAAACCAUCAGGACUUGGGGUUUGCCCUGUACAGGGCAAGUCCCGGAGCUAACGCGUUAAGUCCUGCGCCUGGGGAGUACGGUCGCAAGGCUGAA